CGCGUAGGCGGUUGGGGAAGUCCGUGGUGAAAGCUCGUGGCUCAACUACGAGUCGGCCAGGGAUACUCCUUGACUUGAGCACUGUAGAGGCAGGUGGAAUUCCGGGUGUAGCGGUGGAAUGCGUAGAGAUCCGGAAGAACACCGGUGGCGAAGGCGGCCUGCUGGGCAGUAGCUGACGCUGAGGCGCGACAGCGUGGGGAGCAAACA
Molecule: ribosomal RNA, 207 nt
Filed under: uncultured bacterium
Lineage: Bacteria
Description: partial 16S ribosomal RNA
Rfam family: Bacterial small subunit ribosomal RNA
Source: RNAcentral